This 21-nucleotide unclassified non-coding RNA is filed under the name Mus musculus (house mouse). Its description in RNAcentral is "oocyte_clustered_small_RNA10990". Lineage: Eukaryota; Metazoa; Chordata; Mammalia; Rodentia; Muridae. The record is from RNAcentral.
UCGCUGGAUCCGGCAUUUUCC